This 222-nucleotide ribosomal RNA is filed under the name uncultured bacterium. RNAcentral's name for it is "partial 16S ribosomal RNA". It matches the Rfam family "Bacterial small subunit ribosomal RNA", at positions 328 to 544 of the family's 1533-position model. The record is from RNAcentral.
ACGCUCGACACCUACGGGGGCAGCAGUGAGGAAUAUUGGUCAAUGGGCGCUAGCCUGAACCAGCCAAGUAGCGUGAAGGAUGAAGGCUCUAUGGGUCGUAAACUUCUUUUAUAUAAGAAUAAAGUGCAGUAUGUAUACUGUUUUGUAUGUAUUAUAUGAAUAAGGAUCGGCUAACUCCGUGCCACAGCCGCCGGUAAUACUGAGCGGGCGUGGCGAAGGACG